CAGAACAAAGAUGAUCAGUUGCGUUAUGUCAAACGUGCAAAAUAGCGUUUCAGUAAAUGAGUGAAAAAAGUUCAGUGUGUUUGAGCAGUUUGUGUGAUCUCCUUUAAUGGACAAUAAAUAACAUUACCUUG
Hippocampus comes (tiger tail seahorse) is the source of this 131-nucleotide long non-coding RNA. RefSeq lists it as uncharacterized. NCBI's taxonomy places the organism in Eukaryota, Metazoa, Chordata, Actinopteri, Syngnathiformes, Syngnathidae. The record is from RefSeq and is a predicted model, not a curated record. The transcript is spliced from 2 exons.